UCGACGUGUGAUAAUUGGACAUCGUACUGUGACUGUGGGGUUUUAAUGGCAUUGCAUACUUAAAAGAUCCGGUCAACAUUAAAUUGCAAUAGUUCUAUAAGAUCAAUUAGCUUACAAGAUAAUACCAAUAUUGAACAAUGCAGAAGAUUAUCUUAAUGUGUCUUUGUGUUUGUAUAGUAACUGUUCGUGGCGGAGAUGAAGAUGACGUAACAGACCUUUGUAACUUGUGUGCUAUAGAUGGAAAUAGUGUGGACUGUUUGAUUUGUCGGAGCGCAUUAGAAAAUGAACCAGACUCAAUCGAAUAUGGAAAUAUAAGCAAACGUGGAUUUCUGCGUCAGACACGUCUGUUUCCAUGCCAAUGUUGUGCAUUCUCACGUCAUCAAAACGCGUAUUGUUGUGAUCAGUGUUACAGGAAAUAGGUAUACAUCAUGUCUACGAGAUGUACAUAUCCAGUCCAUCAUUUAUGAAGUUUUAGGACAUUUUGUUGUUAGCUGUGAUGUGAUUUUAGUUUAUAUGCAGAAAUAUGGUGUUCUUGUUGUACGACAAUAUAAAUUGUUUCAGUUUAAUUUUCAGCCAGCGUACUACAAGAAGUUCACAUGACUGUCUUCAUUUAGAAAUAAGUCGUUGAGGAUAUUUAUUAGAAAAACAAAAUAGAUUUUUGAAUUGCAUUAUAAGGGAAUGUCAAGUAAUAUAUUAGUCAUUAGAAAAAAGAAUUAGGAUAUUUUGUAAUUUAUUUUAUUUGUAUCAUAAUUAUCAUUGACAUUUACGGAUGUAAAAAGCUUUUAGUUUGAGAGACGGAAUAAUUCUUCAUAUCACUCAUUAUUAAUUGUCAUAUUUACCAUCUUCAUGAGUGAACGAGACGUAGACAAAGUGGCCUCAGUGUUAUUAUAAAAAUAAGUAUGAUGCAUUAAAAUAAAUAUUUUUGCUGUUA
This is a long non-coding RNA of Mytilus californianus (California mussel), 931 nucleotides long. RefSeq lists it as uncharacterized. The transcript has 2 exons. The record is from RefSeq and is a predicted model, not a curated record. NCBI's taxonomy places the organism in Eukaryota, Metazoa, Mollusca, Bivalvia, Mytilida, Mytilidae.